CUUGCUCAGCCUCUGGUGCCUUGUCCCCUCUGAACAUCUCCAAGGAGAUCUCUACAAGUUCUAUUGGCAACCUGUUCCGGUGACUGGUUUACUUGAGAGUAAACCUUUUCUCUUAAUGUUUAAAUGGACUUUCCUGUCCUGUGUUUCGUUUCCUGCCCAUUGCCUCUGUCUGCAGUUUUGGUUGUGCUGUGACACGGGUGCUACAAACUGUCAUCAGACAGCCUGGGUGCCCUUUGAAGGUACCGCCUUUUCCAUUGGCAGUGAGAUAAAAACCUGGUUUGGGUUUUUGCCUUCCCACCCCUCAACCAUGAAUGUCUCUUCCCACAUUAUCCGUUUAAAAUGUCACUUUCCUGGGCAAUCCUGUGGGUGUCUUCACCUUUAUUGAAAUUCCAGAACCUGAGCUUAACUUGUUAACAAUUUAUGUUCAUAUGUACGAGGAGGAGGAACAUAAAGAUGAUGUAAGGAUAGACAGGUUUGUAAAACCAGCCAUUUCUUCAAGGGAUGGCUGCUGCAGCAAUACCCUGCUUGCACGAUGCCCUAUAUGAGUGUCUGUUUUGAGCGAGUUUUACACGUGACCUGCACCCUGAUCAUGAGUUCUUUUUAGGCUGCACACCCGCCUAUCGGCCUCAUCAGCAUUGAUGCUGUGGACCCACAUCAGUGGUUUCUUGAGCUUUGAGAAAAACCCAGUUCUUGUUCUAGGUAAAUAUAAGAACCCUUCUGUUUCAGAGCAGCGUGCAGCCAUGUGCACACUGUGUGUGCCAGAACAGACCCUUUCAAGAGCUCCAGAAGACUUUUUUAGCCUCUUUCUUUCAUCUGCAAGACCAAAAACGAAAGAGAGGUUUCUGCAACUGGGAAGCAGGAGAAGAGAGCGGAGUGACAAGACUUCACCUGUACCGUAGCUGAUGGGGGGCUCACAGACCAGAACACACACAGCCUAUUGCACAGAUCGGCUUUCCUGGCAGCCCCAGGCAGCACUCGCAGGGACAGAGGUAUGGGACGCCUAAAAAAAGUCACUGAAAGAGACUAAAAGACAAGGACAGCUGGAAAAAACAUGAAUGAAAAAGGAAAUAAAAUGUGUAAA
Long non-coding RNA from Melopsittacus undulatus (budgerigar), 1081 nucleotides. RefSeq lists it as uncharacterized. NCBI's taxonomy places the organism in Eukaryota, Metazoa, Chordata, Aves, Psittaciformes, Psittaculidae. The transcript is spliced from 3 exons. The record is from RefSeq and is a predicted model, not a curated record.